RNAcentral lists this non-coding RNA (94 nucleotides) under Anaerosalibacter massiliensis. RNAcentral describes it as "Glycine riboswitch". It matches the Rfam family "Glycine riboswitch aptamer", at positions 7 to 88 of the family's 94-position model. Rfam says of the family: This family represents the bacterial glycine riboswitch. Glycine riboswitches usually consist of two metabolite-binding aptamers domains with similar structures in tandem. The aptamers cooperatively bind glycine to regulate the expression of downstream genes. The record is from RNAcentral. Lineage: Bacteria; Bacillati; Bacillota; Tissierellia; Tissierellales; Sporanaerobacteraceae.
AGAAUACGGGAGAGACCAAAAAUUGGCACCGAAGGAGUAAAUUGUGGAUGCUUGCCCUUCCACAAUGAAACUCUCAGGUAAAAGAACCGUAUUU